RNAcentral lists this ribosomal RNA (305 nucleotides) under uncultured bacterium. Its description in RNAcentral is "bacterial SSU rRNA". It matches the Rfam family "Bacterial small subunit ribosomal RNA", at positions 335 to 655 of the family's 1533-position model. The record is from RNAcentral.
AUGCCUACGGGACGCAGCAGUGGGGAAUAUUGGGCAAUGGACGCAAGUCUGACCCAGCAACGCCGCGUGAAGGAAGAAGGCUUUCGGGUUGUAAACUUCUUUUAAGGGGGAAGAGCAGAAGACGGUACCCCUUGAAUAAGCCACGGCUAACUACGUGCCAGCAGCCGCGGCAAUACGUAGGUGGCAAGCGUUGUCCGGAUUUACUGGGUGUAAAGGGCGUGCAGCCGGGGAGACGAGUCAGAUGUGAAAUCCCCGCGCUCAACGUGGGAACUGCCUUUGAAACUGGCAAACUGGAGUGGGUGAGG